RNAcentral lists this ribosomal RNA (1370 nucleotides) under uncultured bacterium. RNAcentral describes it as "bacterial SSU rRNA". It matches the Rfam family "Bacterial small subunit ribosomal RNA", at positions 28 to 1381 of the family's 1533-position model. The record is from RNAcentral.
GACGAACGCUGGCGGCGUGCCUAAUACAUGCAAGUAGAACGCUGAAGAGAGGAGCUUGCUCUUCUUGGAUGAGUUGCGAACGGGUGAGUAACGCGUAGGUAACCUGCCUUGUAGCGGGGGAUAACUAUUGGAAACGAUAGCUAAUACCGCAUAACAAUGGAUGACACAUGUCAUUUAUUUGAAAGGGGCAAUUGCUCCACUACAAGAUGGACCUGCGUUGUAUUAGCUAGUAGGUGAGGUAACGGCUCACCUAGGCGACGAUACAUAGCCGACCUGAGAGGGUGAUCGGCCACACUGGGACUGAGACACGGCCCAGACUCCUACGGGAGGGCAGCAGUAGGGAAUCUUCGGCAAUGGGGGCAACCCUGACCGAGCAACGCCGCGUGAGUGAAGAAGGUUUUCGGAUCGUAAAGCUCUGUUGUAAGUCAAGAACGAGUGUGAGAGUGGAAAGUUCACACUGUGACGGUAGCUUACCAGAAAGGGACGGCUAACUACGUGCCAGCAGCCGCGGUAAUACGUAGGUCCCGAGCGUUGUCCGGAUUUAUUGGGCGUAAAGCGAGCGCAGGCGGUUUGAUAAGUCUGAAGUUAAAGGCUGUGGCUCAACCAUAGUUCGCUUUGGAAACUGUCAAACUUGAGUGCAGAAGGGGAGAGUGGAAUUCCAUGUGUAGCGGUGAAAUGCGUAGAUAUAUGGAGGAACACCGGUGGCGAAAGCGGCUCUCUGGUCUGUAACUGACGCUGAGGCUCGAAAGCGUGGGGAGCGAACAGGAUUAGAUACCCUGGUAGUCCACGCCGUAAACGAUGAGUGCUAGGUGUUGGAUCCUUUCCGGGAUUCAGUGCCGCAGCUAACGCAUUAAGCACUCCGCCUGGGGAGUACGACCGCAAGGUUGAAACUCAAAGGAAUUGACGGGGGCCCGCACAAGCGGUGGAGCAUGUGGUUUAAUUCGAAGCAACGCGAAGAACCUUACCAGGUCUUGACAUCCCGAUGCUAUUUCUAGAGAUAGAAAGUUACUUCGGUACAUCGGUGACAGGUGGUGCAUGGUUGUCGUCAGCUCGUGUCGUGAGAUGUUGGGUUAAGUCCCGCAACGAGCGCAACCCCUAUUGUUAGUUGCCAUCAUUCAGUUGGGCACUCUAGCGAGACUGCCGGUAAUAAACCGGAGGAAGGUGGGGAUGACGUCAAAUCAUCAUGCCCCUUAUGACCUGGGCUACACACGUGCUACAAUGGUUGGUACAACGAGUUGCGAGUCGGUGACGGCAAGCUAAUCUCUUAAAGCCAAUCUCAGUUCGGAUUGUAGGCUGCAACUCGCCUACAUGAAGUCGGAAUCGCUAGUAAUCGCGGAUCAGCACGCCGCGGUGAAUACGUUCCCGGGCCU